UCAGUAAAUGUACACAGACAUUCAAUUUCGUUCUCUUCAUUUUAGACAUAAUGCGUAACUGAUUAUUUUUUUAGCACACUGAUCGAUAUCUCGGUAAAAUAAUCUUCUUUUUUUUUAACUAGCGGGGCAGUGAAAUCUUUGCUUUGUGCUAAAGUCAACAGUGACAGAGUUUGAGCUCAAAUAAAUGCCGUGAUGUCUCCAGCCCUUUGCAGAAGGCUGAAGGCGAGGUUCCACAUUGGGCUCCUAGCUUGCCAGUAAGCAUCCACCGUAUUUCACAGCAGGGCUCUGCUGGGGAGGGCUCCAUGGCUGUGCUGUCAGAGAGGUUCCUUCAGAGAGAAGAGGGAUAGGAAGGAGAGGAAGCCACAACGAGAAGAGGAGCGGUUCGAAAAGGAGAAGCAGAUGGAUCUGCCACCACACACAAUGUCCCUUCUGUUGUGGGCUGUGCUGUGACCACCCCAUGGCAGCGGCCAGAUGGAGGUGGAAUGGGACCAAUGGGAUCAAUGAGGUGAUGCCUACAAUCUUCUCCCUGCAUCACCUCAGAUCCACAGACACAGAACCACAAAGGCACUUUCCUCUCUGAGUACUUGUCUACCUGGCUACGUCUGCGUCUGACCUGUCUGGAUCUAUGAAAUAUCAAAGCUUGUGUCAGGCAGCGUGAAUAGGGAGAGAGAGGCACCAUUAAUGAUUAACUGUUCUAAAAGCCUAUCAGGCAGGCCAUGUGACAUGCUCGCAGCAUUUUUUGAGCAGAUUGGGGGAAGCUAGUCAGCAAACACAGGUGCUUUGGACUGGAGUCGCCGACGCUGUCAGGGACAACCACAAACAAGAGCAGCACUGCCGAGCUAAAUGAGAGCCCACCCACUUUACUUACUCCCUGGCUAGCUUAGCUUAGUCACUGACUGCAGUGGCUGGAGAUCCUCACCAGAGACCAAGUCCAAUGUCCCCCCCCCAGUGUUCCAUAACCUUUCACAAAAACAAAUCAAACGGGACGAUUGGAGUCGCUGUGGUCUCAAGCAUCGGGGAAAGCAAACAAAUGAAUUGUGUUCCAGUUCUCACUUUCUAAAACAAACCAAAUGUGGGUUGAACACUUGUUCUUGAGAAUAGUGGAGGCAAUGAGAGAUAUUCCGAAAGGUGUUCAGAAAUAUGCAGGAUGACAAACUGAUUCUCAGGAAAUGGAGUGGUUGAUUUGAUAGUUUCAUUAAUGUUUCAUGACAGGUGGAUGACGAAUAGAUCAUAAAGACACAAAAGCAUUUUUUCUGUCAACAAAGUAGACUGUUUUGUUGUCCUGAUUUUGUUUAGAUUUUUCUGGAGUUGUUUUCAAGGUUUUAUAAACACGGUCUAGGUCCAGACA
Long non-coding RNA from Oncorhynchus tshawytscha (Chinook salmon), 1348 nucleotides. RefSeq lists it as uncharacterized. The record is from RefSeq and is a predicted model, not a curated record. Lineage: Eukaryota; Metazoa; Chordata; Actinopteri; Salmoniformes; Salmonidae. The transcript has 3 exons.